Molecule: long non-coding RNA, 423 nt
Organism: Gallus gallus (chicken)
Lineage: Eukaryota; Metazoa; Chordata; Aves; Galliformes; Phasianidae
Source: Ensembl
GUCCCCGUGCACCGUUCCCCUGCACCACGGAGGGGGAGAAAUAGAGGGGAGUGGAUGGGGAAAGACAGGUGCAGAAAGGAGAGGGAAGAAGGAAUUGAAAAUGACAACUCUGAAACUCAGUGCUCUGGAUGGAGUAAACAUGGAUACGGGGGAGAAAAACAUCCCACACACCAGGGAAACUCAAAGAGGUCUUCUAAAUAAGGAAAUGGAGAAGAGCCAGUCCAGCUGAUCAGUAGCCUAAAUAUUUUUAAAAUAAAAACACUGCAUGAGCAAGAGCCUCAGCCUUAAUUAAAUGUGUUUUAACUCCAGUAGCACAAUGGGCACUUAACAGCGCCUUGAAGGAGCAGCUAACGGUUUCUCAGAGCAGGGAGUCCUUGAACUGCAUGAAGGCAUAGUAUCCAGUUUGUACUUCCUUCUUUAAAC